GACGAACGCUAGCGGCGUGCUUAACACAUGCAAGUCGAACGGUAAGGCCCUUCGGGGUACACGAGUGGCGAACGGGUGAGUAACACGUGGGUGAUCUGCCCUGCACUUCGGGAUAAGCCUGGGAAACUGGGUCUAAUACCGGAUAGGACCACUGCCUGCAUGGGUGGUGGUGGAAAGCUUUUGCGGUGUGGGAUGGGCCCGCGGCCUAUCAGCUUGUUGGUGGGGUGAUGGCCUACCAAGGCGACGACGGGUAGCCGGCCUGAGAGGGUGACCGGCCACACUGGGCAUGGGAUACGGCCCAGACUCCUACGGGAGGCAGCAGUGGGGAAUAUUGCGCAAUGGGCGCAAGCCUGAUGCAGCGACGCCGCGUGAGGGAUGACGGCCUUCGGGUUGUAAACCUCUUUCAGCACCGACGAAGUGCAAGUGACGGUAGGUGCAGAAGAAGGACCGGCCAACUACGUGCCAGCCGCCGCAGUAA
This 478-nucleotide ribosomal RNA is filed under the name uncultured bacterium. RNAcentral describes it as "partial 16S ribosomal RNA". It matches the Rfam family "Bacterial small subunit ribosomal RNA", at positions 28 to 523 of the family's 1533-position model. The record is from RNAcentral.